This 254-nucleotide ribosomal RNA is filed under the name uncultured bacterium. RNAcentral's name for it is "partial 16S ribosomal RNA". It matches the Rfam family "Bacterial small subunit ribosomal RNA", at positions 524 to 776 of the family's 1533-position model. The record is from RNAcentral.
UACGUAGGGUGCGAGCGUUGUCCGGAAUUAUUGGGCGUAAAGAGCUCGUAGGCGGUGUGUCACGUCGAUCGUGAAAACUUACAGCUUAACUGUGAGCGUGCGGUCGAUACGGGCAUCACUUGAGUUCGGUAGGGGAGACUGGAAUUCCUGGUGUAGCGGUGAAAUGCGCAGAUAUCAGGAGGAACACCGGUGGCGAAGGCGGGUCUCUGGGCCGAUACUGACGCUGAGGCACGAAAGCGUGGGGAGCAAACAGG